ACUCCUACGGGAGGCAGCAGUGGGGAAUAUUGCACAAUGGGCGCAAGCCUGAUGCAGCCAUGCCGCGUGUAUGAAGAAGGCCUUCGGGUUGUAAAGUACUUUCAGCAGUGAGGAAGGUGGGUAUGUUAAUAGCAUACUCAUUUGACGUUAGCUGCAGAAGAAGCACCGGCUAACUCCGUGCCAGCAGCCGCGGUAAUACGGAGGGUGCGAGCGUUAAUCGGAAUUACUGGGCGUAAAGCGCAUGCAGGUGGUUUGUUAAGUCAGAUGUGAAAGCCCGGGGCUCAACCUCGGAAUUGCAUUUGAAACUGGCAAACUAGAGUACUGUAGAGGGGGUAGAAUUUCAGGUGUAGCGGUGAAAUGCGUAGAGAUCUGAAGGAAUACCGGUGGCGAAGGCGGCCCCCUGGACAGAUACUGACACUCAGAUGCGAAAGCGUGGGGAGCAAACAGGAUUAGAUACCCUGGUAGGAUAGCG
RNAcentral lists this ribosomal RNA (472 nucleotides) under uncultured bacterium. Its description in RNAcentral is "bacterial SSU rRNA". It matches the Rfam family "Bacterial small subunit ribosomal RNA", at positions 335 to 799 of the family's 1533-position model. The record is from RNAcentral.